RNAcentral lists this ribosomal RNA (1405 nucleotides) under uncultured bacterium. Its description in RNAcentral is "bacterial SSU rRNA". It matches the Rfam family "Bacterial small subunit ribosomal RNA". The record is from RNAcentral.
GAGUUUGAUCAUGGCUCAGGACGAACGCUGGCGGCGUGCCUAAUACAUGCAAGUAGAACGCUGAAGAGAGGAGCUUGCUCUUCUUGGAUGAGUUGCGAACGGGUGAGUAACGCGUAGGUAACCUGCCUUGUAGCGGGGGAUAACUAUUGGAAACGAUAGCUAAUACCGCAUAACAAUGGAUGACCCAUGUCAUUUAUUUGAAAGGGGCAAAUGCUCCACUACAAGAUGGACCUGCGUUGUAUUAGCUAGUAGGUGAGGUAACGGCUCACCUAGGCGACGAUACAUAGCCGACCUGAGAGGGUGAUCGGCCACACUGGGACUGAGACACGGCCCAGACUCCUACGGGAGGCAGCAGUAGGGAAUCUUCGGCAAUGGGGGCAACCCUGACCGAGCAACGCCGCGUGAGUGAAGAAGGUUUUCGGAUCGUAAAGCUCUGUUGUAAGUCAAGAACGAGUGUGAGAGUGGAAAGUUCACACUGUGACGGUAGCUUACCAGAAAGGGACGGCUAACUAUGUGCCAGCAGCCGCGGUAAUACGUAGGUCCCGAGCGUUGUCCGGAUUUAUUGGGCGUAAAGCGAGCGCAGGCGGUUUGAUAAGUCUGAAGUUAAAGGCUGUGGCUCAACCAUAGUUCGCUUUGGAAACUGUCAAACUUGAGUGCAGAAGGGGAGAGUGGAAUUCCAUGUGUAGCGGUGAAAUGCGUAGAUAUAUGGAGGAACACCGGUGGCGAAAGCGGCUCUCUGGUCUGUAACUGACGCUGAGGCUCGAAAGCGCGGGGAGCGAACAGGAUUAGAUACCCUGGUAGUCCACGCCGUAAACGAUGAGUGCUAGGUGUUGGAUCCUUUCCGGGAUUCAGUGCCGCAGCUAACGCAUUAAGCACUCCGCCUGGGGAGUACGACCGCAAGGUUGAAACUCAAAGGAAUUGACGGGGGCCCGCACAAGCGGUGGAGCAUGUGGUUUAAUUCGAAGCAACGCGAAGAACCUUACCAGGUCUUGACAUCCCGAUGCUAUUUCUAGAGAUAGAAAGUUACUUCGGUACAUCGGUGACAGGUGGUGCAUGGUUGUCGUCAGCUCGUGUCGUGAGAUGUUGGGUUAAGUCCCGCAACGAGCGCAACCCCUAUUGUUAGUUGCCAUCAUUCAGUUGGGCACUCUAGCGAGACUGCCGGUAAUAAACCGGAGGAAGGUGGGGAUGACGUCAAAUCAUCAUGCCCCUUAUGACCUGGGCUACACACGUGCUACAAUGGUUGGUACAACGAGUUGCGAGUCGGUGACGGCAAGCUAAUCUCUUAAAGCCAAUCUCAGUUCGGAUUGUAGGCUGCAACUCGCCUACAUGAAGUCGGAAUCGCUAGUAAUCGCGGAUCAGCACGCCGCGGUGAAUACGUUCCCGGGCCUUGUACACACCGCCCGUC